AUUGAACGCUGGCGGCAGGCCUAACACAUGCAAGUCGAACGGUAACAGGAAACAGCUUGCUGUUUCGCUGACGAGUGGCGGACGGGUGAGUAAUGUCUGGGAAACUGCCUGAUGGAGGGGGAUAACUACUGGAAACGGUAGCUAAUACCGCAUAACGUCGCAAGACCAAAGAGGGGGACCUUCGGGCCUCUUGCCAUCGGAUGUGCCCAGAUGGGAUUAGCUAGUAGGUGGGGUAACGGCUCACCUAGGCGACGAUCCCUAGCUGGUCUGAGAGGAUGACCAGCCACACUGGAACUGAGACACGGUCCUGACUCCUACGGGAGGCAGCAGUGGGGAAUAUUGCACAAUGGGCGCAAGCCUGAUGCAGCCAUGCCGCAUGUAUGAAGAAGGCCUUCGGGUUGUAAAGUACUUUCAGCGGGGAGGAAGGGAGUAAAGUCAAUACCUUUGCUCAUUGACGUUACCCGCAGAAGAAGCACCGGCUAACUCCGUGCCAGCAGCCGCAGUAA
Molecule: ribosomal RNA, 506 nt
Filed under: uncultured bacterium
Lineage: Bacteria
Description: partial 16S ribosomal RNA
Rfam family: Bacterial small subunit ribosomal RNA
Source: RNAcentral